Molecule: ribosomal RNA, 875 nt
Filed under: Massilia sp.
Lineage: Bacteria; Pseudomonadati; Pseudomonadota; Betaproteobacteria; Burkholderiales; Oxalobacteraceae
Description: bacterial SSU rRNA
Rfam family: Bacterial small subunit ribosomal RNA
Source: RNAcentral
UGCAAGUCGAACGGCAGCGCGGGGCAACCUGGCGGCGAGUGGCGAACGGGUGAGUAAUACAUCGGAACGUACCCAGAAGUGGGGGAUAACGUAGCGAAAGUUACGCUAAUACCGCAUACGUUCUACGGAAGAAAGUGGGGGACCUUCGGGCCUCAUGCUUUUGGAGCGGCCGAUGUCUGAUUAGCUAGUUGGUGAGGUAAAGGCUCACCAAGGCGACGAUCAGUAGCUGGUCUGAGAGGACGACCAGCCACACUGGGACUGAGACACGGCCCAGACUCCUACGGGAGGCAGCAGUGGGGAAUUUUGGACAAUGGGCGCAAGCCUGAUCCAGCAAUGCCGCGUGAGUGAAGAAGGCCUUCGGGUUGUAAAGCUCUUUUGUCAGGGAAGAAACGGCCGAGGCUAAUACCUUUGGCUAAUGACGGUACCUGAAGAAUAAGCACCGGCUAACUACGUGCCAGCAGCCGCGGUAAUACGUAGGGUGCAAGCGUUAAUCGGAAUUACUGGGCGUAAAGCGUGCGCAGGCGGUUUUGUAAGUCUGACGUGAAAUCCCCGGGCUCAACCUGGGAAUUGCGUUGGAGACUGCAAGGCUGGAGUCUGGCAGAGGGGGGUAGAAUUCCACGUGUAGCAGUGAAAUGCGUAGAGAUGUGGAGGAACACCGAUGGCGAAGGCAGCCCCCUGGGUCAAGACUGACGCUCAUGCACGAAAGCGUGGGGAGCAACAGGAUUAGAUACCCUGGUAGUCCACGCCCUAAACGAUGUCUACUAGUUGUCGGGUCUUAAUUGACUUGGUAACGCAGCUAACGCGUGAAGUAGACCGCCUGGGGAGUACGGUCGCAAGAUUAAAACUCAAAGGAAUUGACGGGGACCCGCACAAGC